AAGGAGCCACUGAGGCUGAUCUGUAUCAUUCUUCAGGCAGCUCCAUCGGACAGCUCUCUGGAGAGAUGGCAAAAGAUCUGUAUCUGCAUGCUUCACAGGGAUAAAUUGUUAGCCUCGGUAUGAGCAACAAUAGAGGCUUUGAGGAUCCUGAUGACCAACUCCGCCGAAGCAUUCCUUCCCGCACACUUACCUUCAUUAUAUCCUCACUAAUCACCCCUCUGCCUUUCAGCAGUGAAAUGUUAUCACCCUUCAGCAAGGCAUCAAACCAGAACUGCAGAGGGAUUGCUAACACUGACCUGCCCUUCUCAUCAACAUGAAAAAAAAGAGAAAGCCUCUUCGGGACUGUGUUGCACUGCUGGGAAAGGAUGGAGGGCAGACGUUUGCAGACAGCAAAGGCCAGACAAAACAUCUUCAAGGAUGAAUGUGAGACUUUGAUGUGUCUAUUGGCGGCUGCUAUUGUCUAUUCCUACUCUGAGAGGCAGGUUGGGCUGAAGAUCUCCAGAGAUCACUUCCAAACAGCACAUCCAUACGAAGGAGAAGAAACAGGAAAGAGAAACUUGUUCCUGGUGCCAUAAGGAUGAAAAAUUGGGAGCAAGGGAGAGCAAGAAAAAAAGAGAUUGAUAUUUUGCUUCCAAAUCAACACCUGGAGGGGAGCAAGGCACCCUGGAAACGGUGGGACACAUGCUAUGGGAAGAAGAAAAUAAAGAGGAGGGGAAGAUGUGGAUCCAGGAUUCAUCACAUCAGUUGUAAACCUGGUAUAGAGGCUUGUAGGAAUAUUACACAGAGGAAUUUGGCCUCUGAUAUAAACCUAGCAGAGGACAACCUUGCGAAUGUGAUCCAAAUACUUCUUCCUCUUCUUGAAACCUAGGCACUGAGGCCUACGUGGCUGACAUGGAGGGCCAAGCUGGAGGGGAAGCAGAUGACCUAGGCAUUAAUCCCACUAGAAAACCAAACGACAUGUGAGAGGAAUUUCUUGUCUGAGAAAAUCUUCAGAAAUCUGGCUGAACACUCUUUUCUCUCACUAUUCACCUGGCUUUGAGGGAUAACAAGGACUUAGCCAGGAGUCAGCCACAGCUACAACAAAACUGAGUUAGUCAUCUGCAUGUUACCAACCACGUGCUCAGAAAUGGCCGUCCUACAAAAACAAGUUCUUCGAGACCUGCACCACUCCUUCCUUUAGUUUGGUUUCAAACUAAAACAGGGGAGAUUUAGACUGGAAAUAAGAAGAAGAUUUUUUGUUUUUUUGUUUUUUGUUUGUUUGUUUGUUUGUUUGUUUAUGAUAAGG
Gallus gallus (chicken) is the source of this 1285-nucleotide long non-coding RNA. The record is from Ensembl. NCBI's taxonomy places the organism in Eukaryota, Metazoa, Chordata, Aves, Galliformes, Phasianidae.